This is a long non-coding RNA of Stegostoma tigrinum, 1191 nucleotides long. RefSeq lists it as uncharacterized. NCBI's taxonomy places the organism in Eukaryota, Metazoa, Chordata, Chondrichthyes, Orectolobiformes, Stegostomatidae. The transcript is spliced from 3 exons. The record is from RefSeq and is a predicted model, not a curated record.
CAGGAGGGAAGAAAGACUAGCCGCCAUCUUGAGUGCGGGCAAGAAGGAGUUUCAGUGCUUUAUUUUCCUCGUCUGUGCUUCUCGCUAAUUCGCCAUAGAGCGAUGGACCCUUUUCCUUAAUCCGUUGGCUAGACGAGGCAGAGCCAGAGAACAAAAGUAACAGGGGAAGCCUGGCGAGCACGGACGGACGGGGGGGGAGGGAAUUUAAGAAGAGGGUUGGCGUGCAAAAGAGCAGGACGCGAGCUCUUACUUACCCUCUGCCAUGGCAAGGGCGGCCAACUUGGAUCUGACUACUCGGAGAUCACAAUAAUAGAGUAAACUUCUGGUAUAUCAGGUAUAUAAUUUUUGAGAUAACAAUGUGUAGAGCUGGAUGAACACAGCAGGCGAAGCAGUAUCAGAGGAGGAGGAGGAGGAGGAAUGCUGACGUUUCGGGCCUGAACCUUUCUUCAGAUUUCAUGUGGUGCCCUUGAGACACUGCAGAGAAAGGAGAGGGUGGAUUGUGUUCAGUUGUUUCCUAAGCAGACUGUCGAAACCAAUGGGUAGAAUGCUUCAUAACCGGAAUUCUCCAGCAAGCACCAAGACAUCACUUGGCUUGUGGUGAGAAACCUGAGAGAUCCUUCUUGUACACCGGGAUGCUCUGCGCUGCCACAUGCUGCGCUCAAAACGGCUGUGGGAGGGUAGAAACUGUCACACAUUUCCUGCAGGAGCGUGCUUUUACAAAGGAAAUCUGGAGAAAGAUGGAGUUGAUUUUGUCCAGAUUAGUCCCAAACAGUUCAAUGACACAUCUCUACACCUUGUUCCUCAAGACACACCCAGUGUCAAACAUUGACUGUCCCUGGAGAACCAUCAACUCCUGAAUGAUGCUCUUUAGUCUGCCUGAAACUUGUUGGACUUCCAGAGCAAGGAGUUGACCUUGACUGAAAGUUACAGACUGGCAUAUUCCAAGUUCCCAGACGAUGUGCUGAGUGGUAGCUGCUGCCAAGGUGCAGUGGGGAAUGACCACCAUCUAAGAUCUUUCUGCCAAAGUUAAAUGGGGGUCUGUUCAGUUAUCAAACCCUCUUAGUGCUUCAAAUGCGUGUUAAUAUAGUCUUGUAUAGUUAAGAAAUGCCUUUGGUUUGGUUGCUGGAUAGAGUCAAACUCCAAUUAUUUUUAUUUCUUCCUACUUUUCUGUAGAGAACUGUAUUGGUUUAA